AGAAGAAUAGGAUUAGUCCAAGACAUUUGUUGUUAGCUGUGAGGAAUGAUGAGGAACUAGGAAAAUUACUUGCUGGUGUUACUAUUGCUUAUGGUGGUGUUCUUCCUAAUAUAAACCCUGUUCUUUUGCCUAAGAGGACUGAAAAUACUUCUUCUGCAAAGGAGCCUAAAUCUCCAAAGGCCAAGAAAACUCCUAAGAAAGCUUAGAUUGAAAGAUGGCAAGAUUCCAGGUCUUGUUCUGCAUGGAUAGUUUAGUUUAGGCACCUCUAAUUUAGCGGAUACAUAUUUAGUGUAAACCAGUCAAUCUAAUUCCUAAUUGUCUUUCUAUGUUUAUGAGUUUUAUUUGAUAAUAAACUCCUUUUGUUUUUAACCAAAUACUGUGUUUAUCAUGCUUACUGUUAUUGACUUGCAAUAUUGAGAGGCGUUUAAUUUAUAUUCCGUUACUAUCUGAAAAGAAAAAAAGAAAAAGAAAUACAUGAUUAGGAUAUUGUCAUUUUAUGAGCAAAAUUAUUAUUCUAUCUUUAUAAAAAUCUAAUAACAUCCCCAUCUAUUAUUUCUAGUUGAAUUCUAUAAAUUGGGCCUUACUCAAUUAUGUACUAUAUAAAAUUACUUCAUUAUCUAUGAUUAAAACAAGAGAUUAAUUGUUAUGCAUUGUCAGUGUAAAAAGUUUUAUACUGUGAAUGCAUUACAAUCAUCAAUCUAUAUUAUUUUUUAAAUGUUUCAAAUAAAAGUCAAACAUUUUAAAUGAAUUAGUGGUUGUGAUUAACUGUCAGUGUAAAAAAUCUUUACACUGUCAGUGUAUAUCAAUUAAUCUAUUAAAACUAAUAUUAUGUAAUUUGUAAUUUGUCGAUUGCUAAUCAUGAUUACUACUUAUUUAAUUAAAUUAUUUUUUAAUUAGAUAAAAUAUUAAUUAUAAUUUGAUUUAAACCAACCUUUCCAAUAUAGACUUAUUUAUUCUUCACUCAUUUCACAGAAUCUUUUUCAAAAAGAAAACCUUUCAUCUUCAAUGAUGAAUCACCUCUCAUCAUUUUAACCGAACACAUAAAAAUCCAUCAUUAACCUGCAGGUUCAAAAACCAUUCUAACCUUCAACACAUAACACCUGUAAAUUCAAUACAAAACACCAAUUUCCAGAACACAAUUCACAGAUAAUCGCAUAAGCAAAAGAGCAUAUCUAGACGAAGCAGAAUGGAGAAGAAGAAAACAUAAAUAAAUAGUAUAAAAGAGUCGAUUUCGUAACCUUAGCUGUCAAAUCUUUCGCCGGCUUCGGUGUUCCCCAGACUAGCUCUGUGUUCGUAAGUCUUCUAACUUUUUCCACAUAUUCUUUAUACAGUUUUGUUUGUCUUGCUCCACUGAUGUAAAACUCUUUGCUGAUUGCGUAAAUCCACUGAUUUUGUCAUUUUUAGGGUUAGGGUAUUGAUGUUGUAUAUACCUUUUUGUUUCAUUGUUAUCCAUCGCCUCAUUAUUUUUUUGAGGUUCAUCUUCUUCGAGAUCAAUUUCGUGGCUUCUUAAAGAACUAACAAGUUCUUCAAGACUAAUGUUGUUGAGAUCCUUUGCCAGCUUCAAGGAAGUUAUCAUAUGUCUCCAUUUUUUGGGAAGACUUCUGAUAAUUUUCUUGACAUGGUCAGCUGUAGAGUAUCCUUUGUCCAAAACUUUUAGUCCUACAACAAGCAUUUGAAACCUUGAGAACAUAGUCUCAACUGUUUCAUCAUCUUUCAUUUUGAAUGCCUUGUACUUUUGAAUUAAGGUCAAUGUCUUUGUCUCCUUUACUUGAGCAUUCCCCUCACGAGUCAUCAUCAGAGAUUCAAAAAGGGAUUUGAUAGAAUCUUUGUUUGUUAUCUUCUCAUACUCCGUAUAAGAGAUUUUUGACAAUAUGGUUCUAGCCUUAUGAUGAUUUUUGAAGUAUUUCUUCUGUUGAUCAAUCACAACACUUUUUACUAUAGUAUUUCCUUCAGCAUUCACUAGGUGAAUAUAGCCAUCGCCUACAAGAUCCUAGAGAUCAACAUCGUAACCAAGAAAGAAACUUUCUAUUCUAUCUUUUCAAUAGUCAAAUUUCUCACCAUCAAAGAUUGGUGGUUUUGUACUGUAAUGAUCUCUUUCAUUACUAUUAACAACAUUAGCAGCGACCAUUGUUUCUCACACAAACUGGAUUGGUACUAAACACAGUGAGGUGUUGAUAAAACUUAUAUCACAAUCAGAAUCGGAGCUUUGAUUUCAAUUGAAUGUGUGAAAAACACAAGAAAUAGGGGUUUGAAUUGGGUUUUACAAGCAAAAGUUUUUUCCAAAACAAGAACACCACUUAACAAGUUAAUAACAAAGAGAUAAAAAAACACAAGUAUUUUUAUCCUGAUUCGCUUGAAACUCAAAUCUACUCCAGUCCACCCGCCAAGGUGAUUUUUCCUUAUACACAAGGACUUAAUCCACUAUAUUCAACAAAUUACAAUAAUCACAAAGAAUAACCUUCUUUGUCUUCUUAAGGAUCCAAUUAUACCUUAGUCUGCUUAAGAACUCACAAAGAACAACCUUAUUUGUCUUCUCAAGGAUAACCUCCUUAAAGAAUCAAACAAACAGUUUGAAUAAUAUUUUAUGUGUUACAAGAUGCUUCAAUACAAGCAGAUUUUACACAAAUGAAUAACAAACACUUAAAGAAAAACUGUAUAGAAAAAUAAUUGAUAGCUUUUCAAAAAGAAAAUAGACUUGUCAAAAUAUUGUGUCACCGAUAGUUUUCUUCAAGUCUCCAAGUCUUACUUAUAUAGCAUAAGAAGAAGACGGUUGGAGGACAUAAUGGAAAAAACUCAUAGAGCGGCUGUCCACUGUUGGAUGGGAAAGGAGUGAUACUACGUAUUAUCCUUCGCCUACAAAAUUAAUAACAAAUGUGAUGUAUAAUAUUGUCCUUGCCCAUGAAAUCAGGUAGUGGAAAGGAUGUUUGUUUUGUAUUAUGUACUAUUUGAUCACGUUCUCAUUUGAUCUUAUCUUCUAGUUCAUUUGCUUCUGAUGAAAGUUGAUGAAGUAUGAAAUGAAGAAAGAUAAAGCUGGAUUCAGAAACUUCAAAAUCUUUGGUUUGAACCUUGACAACGUCAGUAGUCUGACUUAAGAUCUUCAGAGUCUUUAGAAUCUUCAGUCAGAACCUUGAUAACUUCAAUCAUGUGACUUGAGAUCUUUAUAAUCUUCAGCUACAUAACAUAACUUCAAAAGCUUGCCAUCUUCAGAAGUUUGGUGAUCAAAGUCACGUCCAGAAGCAUGAGCUGAGAGAACAUUGCAGAAGCAACAUAAUGUCUCCUUAAAAGCUUCUCAAAAGUGAAUCAACACAGAAGCAAAAAGAACAUUACAACAUCAAUAUUGAACAUCUUUCAGAACUUCUAAUAGCUGGCGCAUAAGCGAAUUUGGAACAUAGCAUUCAGAAACUGAUAACGUCGCACAUUAUAUAUUCAGAAUCAGAAUUGGUUGUUAAAGCUGCACAAUAACAAACCAUCAGAGUACCAAAAUUGUUCUCACAUAAAUACAAUAUUAUUAUCAUUAAAACUCAAGCUAUAGAUACAGAACCAAAUAUUGUUCUAACAGACAUUCACGCAUCUUUCUAGUACCUUUUCUAAGUUAGCAAAGGGACCCCUCAAAGCUUGAUUCACAUAUUGAAAAAUCAUCCAUGAAUACUUCUAUGAUAUCAUCUAGAAAGUCUGUGAAUAUCCCAUCUUGACGUGUCUGGUAGCAGCUUCGUCCUUAUACCUUUGUUUAUUUGUUACUAACUAGUAAACGAGCUUAGUAAUCAUCCAAGAAAUAGAUAAAGUGGAACAAUUUGUCUAUUUCGUGAUCAUGAUGUUCAAAGGUGUUGAGGCUUGGUAUCAGAAGAUUGAAAGACUCACAUUGGCAGUGGUGGUGACUGUAAGGAGACUUAGUAAUUCCUGAAAUUUGAGUUCAAAGAUAGCAACAAUUAAGCCGAAUACGAAGCUCUCAUCGAUGACAUGACAUCCUUCCUAGAGGUAGCCGCAUCGACUCUGAAAGUCAAAAAUGAGUUGAACAAUAAAUUUAUAUAUAAAAACCACAUUUAAAUUCAAAAACUAUAAAUUAUAAUUUUAAAAUAAAACAGUUUUAAAAACCGAAUUAAUUCUAUUUUAAAAAAACUAAACACCACAAAAUUACUUUUAAAAUCAAUUCUACACCUUUAAAAUAUAUAAUCUUUUACCUUCUUUAAAAAUCAAAUCAAACAAUAAUUAAUUAAAUAAAGAAAAAUACUUACAAGUGUUCCAUGGACAAAGAUCUUAAAUACAAUGUAUCCCAUUGACGACUAGUUGGAUGUAUAUUGCAUAUAUAAGUGUGGGUGCUCUUAGGCGGUGGACUGGCGGAAGCUUUUAAAACUCGUUGUGAUUUAAUUAAAUGAAUUUUACUAGUUUAUGGGGAAAAAUAAACAAAAUUGCAAGGAGACAGAUUAAAAAAAGAAAAGAAAAGUACAGACCGCGUAACUGGCUUCCCAUUGGACAGUUUUAGGAGACAAGGAUCGCCAGGUAAGUGACAGUAAACCAUAGAUAAGUUCUAAUCUAACGGUGGCCUUGUUUCCAAAGCAAGAUCCCAUAAAAGUAUAAAACCCUGCCAACCCCAAUUCCCACCAACAUCUCACCAUUUCCAAUAUUCAAAAUUUCUUACAACGCAGCGAAUUCACAUUCAAAAUGGACGCAAGCACAAAGGUGAAAAAAGGAGCAGGAGGAAGGAAAGGAGGAGGACCGAGAAAGAAAUCGGUGACAAGAUCCGUUAGAGCCGGACUCCAAUUUCCCGUCGGAAGAAUCGGUCGGUUUUUGAAGAAAGGCAGAUACGCUCAGCGUGUUGGUACUGGUGCUCCUGUUUACCUAGCAGCUGUUCUUGAAUAUCUUGCCGCCGAGGUAAAUUUCGAUUUUCAAUCUUCUGCUUGAGUUUUGUUUUUUCUUAGUCAGGAAUUUUUGAUGAAUUGUUCUUAUUUAUUUAUGUGUAGGUUCUUGAAUUGGCUGGAAAUGCGGCACGCGAUAACAAGAAGAAUAGGAUUAGUCCAAGACAUUUGUUGUUAGCUGUGAGGAAUGAUGAGGAACUUGGAAAAUUACUUGCCGGUGUUACCAUUGCUCACGGUGGUGUUCUACCUAACAUCAACCCUGUUCUUUUGCCUAAGAGGACUGAAAAUGCUUCUUCUACUGCAAAGGAGCCUAAAUCUCCAAAGGCCAAGAAAACUCCUAAGAAAGCUUAGAUUGAAAGAUGGCUUUAGAUUCUAGGUCUUGUUCUGUGUUGAUAGUUUAGUUUAGGCACCUCUAAUCUAGCGGAUACAUAUUUAUUGUGUGUAUCAAUCCAUGUAAUUCCAAUUUUUUCUCGUUUAUGAGUUUUAUUUGAUAAUGGAAUCCUUUAAUUUUUAAUCAACUACUUUGUUGUUUAUCAUGUGUACUGUUAUUGAGAGGCGUUUAAUUUAUAUUCAGUUACUGUACAGUCAAUUGUAUUUCAAAAUCUGAAAAGAAAGAAAAAGAAA
Molecule: long non-coding RNA, 5477 nt
Filed under: Lathyrus oleraceus (garden pea)
Lineage: Eukaryota; Viridiplantae; Streptophyta; Magnoliopsida; Fabales; Fabaceae
Description: Pisum sativum (pea) long non-coding RNA (PSAT_LNC030519)
Source: RNAcentral